CUAGUGCUGGAUUUUACUACAAGAAGAGGCCCGACACCAGCCCCACUGGUUUCAGAAGCAGGGUCUCUGGCUGUGGUCCCAGUUGACUGAACCAUCUAUGCCUGCAUGCUGCCGUGUCUUGCCAUGAUGAUGAUAGACAGAACUUCUGAACUACGCAUUAAAGCUUGUCUGCAGAAGGAUCCGAGUGUCCUGCGUAUGAUUUCUUGCUGGCGAGGAAUACAGAGCGGGCGCGGGACAUAUGGUGCCGAAACCCGGGAACAUGUGAACAUCUCCAGCACCACGGAGACCCCUCUAACGAGGCGGAUUCAG
This 309-nucleotide long non-coding RNA is filed under the name Cricetulus griseus (Chinese hamster). RNAcentral's name for it is "lncRNA (ENSCGRG00015043236.1)". Lineage: Eukaryota; Metazoa; Chordata; Mammalia; Rodentia; Cricetidae. The record is from RNAcentral.